UAGAUAAUGGUGUACUCUAAAAACUUAAACAGUUAGAUAACGGUGUUUAAAUAUUUUUAUAUUUAGAUAACGGGGUUUAAACAUUUUUAUAUUUAACACUCCCCCUUACGUCCUUACGUCUGGACUUGAGACUUUUUAGUCGACUCAUGACGUACGUGGGCUUGAAUUAAAUGGGAGGAAAUUAAUAUGCUAGGAGCCUGACGUGACUCGAACUUAGGACCUCCUACUCUGAUACCAUGUGAAACAACCAUUGUACUCUAAAAAAUUAAGCUAUUAGAUAAUGGUGUUUAAACAUUUUUAUAUUUAACAGAGCCAUCUCUAACAUGAUAAU
This 331-nucleotide long non-coding RNA is filed under the name Ananas comosus (pineapple). Its description in RNAcentral is "long non-coding RNA (ACOM_LNC010695)". The record is from RNAcentral. Lineage: Eukaryota; Viridiplantae; Streptophyta; Magnoliopsida; Poales; Bromeliaceae.